UCCAUAUAAUAUAACCCUUAUAAAAGCCAAAUUGGGUUGAGGAAGUUGGACGAUUUUGCCCCUGCCAUAAUAUUUUUCUGUUCUUGCUGAAUGCUUCCCUUCCGUUUUUGCCUCUUCAACUUGUUUUUGGUUUUAUCUUUUGUUUUGUCGUCUUUUCCAGCCUUUCUCAGCUUCACUGUAAUUUGCUCCUUUUUUUCAUCUCUCCUCAUCUCCUCUCAACCUCUCUCCUCAAUCUAUCAAGGUAAUCCUCUUCUCGAAUUCUAGGCCAGGGUUCUUCAUUUUGAACGCUAAUCCUAUCCCCAUAAUUCUUUGGUUGUUUAAUUUGGUGAGAUUGAUGGAUUUAGGGUUUAUUUCUUAGAAAGGAGAACCCAUCUUUCUCUCUCCUUUUUUAAAACCCACUAACUCCAUUUUCAUCCAACACUGAGUCGUGCACCGAUUCACCAAACCCAAUCAACAAAAGCCUAUGAUCGCCGGAAAAUGGCCACAGCAUCACCAACAUCUCCACCGUCUCAACAUCCACGAAUUUCAAGUAUAUCGCUUUGUUCGUCAAUCCCGAGGAACGCCUUCAUCUUGAGCAUGCCCAGAAACAUGCUCAUUGAUCUUCCUCCUUUUUCAGGAAACCCAGAUGUUCAAGAUUGAAUUAAAGAAGAUAUUCUUGAUUGAGUUGUCAGUGUUUGUGCCAAGGUGAUUGAUGAUCUAAAUCUUGCCAAUUUACUUGGUGUUUGAGCUCUCCAUUAAGUUCUACUUUGACUUGGGGUUGAGUUUUCCAUCAUGAAUCUCAUCUGGAUCCGAAGAAAAUAUAAGGGACCAUGCCUCACUAAUCACUAUCGACCUCACCCAAAUCGACUUGGACUCUGGCAAGCAAUAGUAAGGUGUUUAGAAGGGUGCUAUAAUGGAAUUUCAAGAAGGUUAUAGGUAUAACCCUUGAUUGGGAUGUUGUAGGUAAUUAUAACAGAAGCUUCAAAGGUUAUUCGAGAUGCUGGAAAGAAGAUGAACCUUAUGUCUUCUUUGAAUCAGAGAAUUGCUUCUUCAAGACCACCAUCCAAGAAGUGGAAGGUUGCUUUGGAUUUCUAACAUAGACGAAUUCUGGACAAAGGAGGAGGUGCUGGGCCUGCUUCUAAUGGCGUCAAUGCGGCUGUUAGACUUGUUUUCUUUACUGUUAUCUAUUCACUAAACUUGUUAUAUACAGGUAUUAACUAUAGUAAGCAGGCAAUGCUUUGCAAUGAGUUUCAUUUUCUAGCAUAAGUGAUAAGACAGUCGCAAUUAGUUUAGUUUUUAAAGUAUUAACAAUCGUUGCCAUUAGAUGCUUUAAAGUGUAAUCAACUUACAAUUUUGCAAAGUACAAGUGUAAUAAUUUUUUUUCCUAAGAAA
Long non-coding RNA from Chenopodium quinoa (quinoa), 1371 nucleotides. RefSeq lists it as uncharacterized. The record is from RefSeq and is a predicted model, not a curated record. The transcript is spliced from 7 exons. NCBI's taxonomy places the organism in Eukaryota, Viridiplantae, Streptophyta, Magnoliopsida, Caryophyllales, Amaranthaceae.